Long non-coding RNA from Bactrocera dorsalis (oriental fruit fly), 2941 nucleotides. RefSeq lists it as uncharacterized. Lineage: Eukaryota; Metazoa; Arthropoda; Insecta; Diptera; Tephritidae. The record is from RefSeq and is a predicted model, not a curated record. The transcript is spliced from 5 exons.
AAAAUUAAGGCUUUACAACUACAUAUAUUUCUAUUAGUCAUUCGAAGACAUUUACUUCAUGAAAUGUUAAGGAGUUUUCCAUCAAUAAGAUAUGAGCUACUGUUUCCAUGAGUAUCGUAAGUAUGGUAUAGUAUAACAUAAAGUAUUGAGAGAAAAAUUAUCGUUUAAAUAUUUUUGCUUGAAUCACUCAAAUAUGGAAAUAAUAUUGAACAAACGAUAGUUGAAUCCAUUUUUGCAAAUCGCUCUAUGUUUGAGGUCCCUCUGGGAGUAUGAGCUACAAACCAUGUACAAUUACUGAAAUAAUAUACCGGCUAAUGGAUGAUCGUUUCGUCACCAAAAUUUACAACAAUUCCAAAUUGAGUUUUUAUUGUUUAAGAGUCGCUAUAAAAUACAUAACUAUAUACAAAAUUUUAAGCUUCUGAUAUCAGAUACAAACGUACUCGUAUAACCAAGUUGUAACCAAAAUUAAAUUUUUUUCAAUAUGAGUAGUUACUAUUUUAUAUUGUAUUUUCUUCUUGCUGUGAAGUUAAGAAAGUGAUAUUACCUUAUAUUGCAUUUACUACCAACUACCUACACAAGUUUCUUAUUUAUGUGCAUGUGCAUAAUUAUAUAAAAGUUUAUUUUCCAGUAUUGAUAAAACUUUAUAUUAAAACAGACAUUGCGAAUGAAAUCAAUAUUCGCUAUUCUCCGCAAUCAUAAUUCAACAACAUAUCGUUUCUUAUUGGAUUAUACCAUAGGUCAUGAAUUCGGUAAGUUUUUUACCACAUUUUGCUUCAUACACCAGAAAUUUAUAUCAAAAUCAAUGUCAAUUGAAAUACAUGAGAGUAUAUUGAGUUUAUGAUGAUUGGAAAUCAGUAGUGGCGAUAAGCAGAUUAUUUUUAAGAAAAUUAUCACACAUGUUGAGCGACAUAAGGGAUUUAAAGUCAGUCGGAAAUCAGUAUAUCGGUUAUAUUUGGUUUAGAGGAAGAUCUGGGGUCGAAUUGUUACUUCCGUGCACGGAUCGGCAAACAUACGAAAGAAAGUUAUGUGAUACGUCAAUCGUAUGCGGUGAUUGGCAUUAUGAUAUACGAUAGCAAACGGAUCGUAAUGCAUUUUCAAUUCACAAUAGUUUUUAAAUUCCAUAUUGCUUUGGAUCGUAUUUUUAGGACACAAUAGAUGGGGCGACAUUUUCAUUAAGGGGUUAUAUGCAGUUAGGAUUUUCAAAAAAUAUGUGAGUAUACACACACAGAAUUUCAAUAUUUUCGAAGUUUUAGACACAUUAAUGAAGCGACUACAUGUAAAGUGCUUUCAAAACUUUAAACUCGUUUUUCUCGAAACGGUGCUUUCAAAGUCGGUGAGCAAGAUUUCUCAGAAAGGGCUGAACCGAUCGGUCUGAAAUUUUCACACAAGCUUUCUAAAUAUAUUUUUAGUAACUAAUCGAAGGAUUUCCCCAUCCGAUGAAAAUUUCUUAUUUUUAUAAACAAUUAAAGACCCGAAUUUUGGUCGAAAAUCGAACCUUUUGCUUUGAGUAGCCGCCAUUUUGUCAAAAAAUUAUUUUUGCCAAUUCCUUCGAUCAAUCACUAGAUUAUUUAUUAUAUUAAUGAAAUUUAUUUGGUUUUUGCAUUUUAGAUGAUCCAGUCCAGAGAUAUUGUGCUCACCGCAAGAGGCCUUUUUUUUGCGGACCACUGCAAAAAUGGCAAUAUCAACGUUCCCUAUAAUAAUUUUUGGCAAUAAAAAAUCUGUGAAUAUAGUUUAAGGUUGUCAUAAUAUACCUGCCAAGUUUCAAAUCAAUAAACCAAAUAGUUUGCUUAGAAAAAAAUCUUGAAAAAUAACUUUUUCGCCGUCCUCCUAACUGUAUAUAACCCCUUAAACUAACAAAUGUAAUUAAAUAUCAAAAUGGAUCCACCUUUGUUUUUUUAUUUGAGCUCUAGAGAAAGUGAUGGAGAUAAAAAAUAAGAUGUAUCGUUGAACAAAGCUUUGGAAUCUUAAAAAGACGUUGGAGAAUUUUAGGAUAUGGCAAGAGAGGACGGUAUCACCCCACAAAAGUGGAAGGUUUGCUAACGUUUGUGAGUCAUUGCAUAACAUCUGCAUAAAAUUUACAGCUGGUGUACGAUCCAUACGAGCUUUUUCAACAACGGAACAUUUUGAAAAGUUUAUGGAGUAUCAUACGGACCUGGACCUCUUCAGCACAAGCCAGCGUUACUUCCACACAUGAUGACUUCUUCGUCGCUACGGAGUUGCUGUGACUACCUCGUGUAUGUGGCGCUGGCGAAGGUGGUAAUUGUGUGGCGAACCUCUUCUUCUUCUCUUGGUGCCACUUCUGCUACCUAAAUUGCUUACAACCAUUAGCGUGCUAACAAUUUGCCUCAAGCAGCUACGUACAGUACAGCAACUCUUCAUCAGAAACCAACCCGUCCCAUUGAAGCUCACGUUGCAACGGCGAACUCAUCCCAGAAACGGUGAGAUACAGUUAAGCGGCUCUGUUAUGUUUUAAUUGCCUCAGAGGUGAUCAUGGAUCUCGCGAUUGUAGAAAGGUCCGGUCAUUUCUAAUUAAUGGGGAUCGGACCAUUUUACUAGCGACUGCGUAGGUCAUUCUUAUUGAUCACAACAGAGGACAAUUCGUGGGCUCUCAGGCGUCCAGAGGAGAUACGAAUUGAGGAAAUUGGUUCUAACCCUGCAGUCUACACUAAGGUUCAUAUAACAGUGCAGAUACACUGCUUUGACAACAGCAGAAACUUCAACCUCAAGGCUUAUGUCGUGCCGACAACUGACAACUGGUACUGACGUCCUAACGGGUCUCUUUCAGAAGGGUGUCAUACAGGGUUCUAGAGCAAUUUUGCGCUUUAAACACCCGACUUGGUUGGGUGGUAUUUGGAUCGGUCGCAAGUUCUGCUCAGUCCACAUUACCUACAUCUCUUACUUCGAAAUGCUUCAACGACGAAGCCAAUAAAGACUAGACAUG